Molecule: ribosomal RNA, 496 nt
Filed under: uncultured prasinophyte
Lineage: Eukaryota; Viridiplantae; Chlorophyta
Description: bacterial SSU rRNA
Rfam family: Bacterial small subunit ribosomal RNA
Source: RNAcentral
GUCUGACGGAGCGACGCUGCGUGAAGGAUGAAGGCCCGUGGGUUGUAAACUUCUUUUCUCGAAGAAGAAAAAAAUGACGGUAUUCGAGGAAUAAGCAUCGGCUAACUCUGUGCCAGCAGCCGCGGUAAGACAGAGGAUGCAAGUGUUAUUCGGAAUGAUUGGGCGUAAAGAGUCUGUAGGCGGUUUAGAAAGUCUUUUGUGAAAUACUUCAGCUCAACUGAGGCUCCGCAAAAGAAACUUCUAGACUUGAGGAAAGUAGAGGUACAGGGAAUUUCCGGUGGAGCGGUGAAAUGCGUAGAUAUCGGAAGGAACACCAAUAUGGCGAAGGCACUGUACUGGGCUUUUCCUGACGCUCAGAGACGAAAGCUGAAGGAGUGAUUAGGAUUAGAUACCCUAGUAAUUUCAGCCGUAAACGAUGAAAACUCACUGUCGAGCCAAUAUAUGGAGCGGUGGUCAAGCUAACGCGUGAAGUUUUCCGCCUGGGGAUUACGCUUGC